CCCAAGUUCUUGCUACAGAGAUGACGUAUUAAGGGAUGGCAACGGCCAAAACUCAUACACCCCAGAUCCCGCCACAUCUAAAACUGGUGGCACUACACCUUGCACUAAACCUCAUCAAGAAGCUUGCAGGGACGACCAUGCACGUACUACUACUUGCUCAGAUCAUAUACCACCCUCUUCUAGUUUGCCUGACAGCAACCAUGAUAUGAAUAGAAUCAACAAUCUCACUGAUGCCAUCUAUUGUGAAGAGCAAUCAAAUCCUAUGCAUACUCUCCCUGCAUCACGCACUACCCAAUUUGAAGACCAGGCUAAAACUGUAAGUUUAACUGGACACGAUUACCACCCACUCCAUUCGAUUCGAGUUGCAAUCCUUCCAGCUAAUUAUUUUCCAACUACACGUUAUUUUGACCUUUCCAAAGGAUCAAAAUAACAUUGUGUCAGGCACUUUACAUGUGUCAGAACAGAGAAUAGGGAAAUGCAUGACACGGAAGCCUGCUAAAUAUUGUUCAUCCUUAAAGUAUGAAAUUAUGUCCUGUCCUGCACCCAAUGUGGACGCAGCAAUGAGUCUGUUUGGAUACAUGUGCGCUGAUGACUCCACAUUGAAAAGCAUGCCGGUGAUCCAGUUUGGUAGCACACUUUAACUUGUGACAUGAUUGCACAAUCAUUUGCCGAUCGUGCAAUCCUAGACUCAACUUUUAUCACAGGAUUUGUCGUCAGAUGUCUUAGCUAUGAUGAUUAUUGGAUCAGACCUGAGUGCCAUGGCUACAUAAUUUUUUUUGAUGCUGACCUCUCAGUAAGCUUUUAUUUUGCCAUUCUUUUACACUAGAUAUAUUAAAAUUUUUCCAUUGUUUCA
This is a long non-coding RNA of Setaria italica (foxtail millet), 853 nucleotides long. RefSeq lists it as uncharacterized. The record is from RefSeq and is a predicted model, not a curated record. Lineage: Eukaryota; Viridiplantae; Streptophyta; Magnoliopsida; Poales; Poaceae. The transcript has 4 exons.